RNAcentral lists this transfer RNA (83 nucleotides) under Sclerotinia nivalis. It matches the Rfam family "tRNA". Rfam says of the family: Transfer RNA (tRNA) molecules are approximately 80 nucleotides in length. Their secondary structure includes four short double-helical elements and three loops (D, anti-codon, and T loops). Lineage: Eukaryota; Fungi; Ascomycota; Leotiomycetes; Helotiales; Sclerotiniaceae. The record is from Rfam by way of RNAcentral.
GGCCUGAUAGUUCAGUGGUAGAAUUCUUGCUUUGGGAAUCCCAAAAUUGUAAGAGGUCUCCGGUUCAAUCCCGGAUUAGGCCC